AGCAGCCGCGGUAAUUCCAGCUCCAAUAGCGUAUAUUAAAGUUGUUGCAGUUAAAAAGCUCGUAGUUGAAUUUCGGGAUCGAAUUGUUGGUCGUGCUUCGGUACGCACUGGCAUUAUCGGUUUCUACCUUCUGAAGAACCGCGAUGUCAUUAAUUUGGUGUCGUGGGGAAUCAGGACUGUUACUUUGAAAAAAUUAGAGUGUUUAAAGCAGGCGCACGCUUGAAUACAUUAGCAUGGAAUAAUGAAAUAGGACGUUUGAUUCUAUUUUGUUGGUUUCUAGGAUCGACGUAAUGAUUAAUAGGGAUAGUUGGGGGCAUUAGUAUUCAAUUGUCAGAGGUGAAAUUCUUGGAUUUAUUGAAGACUAACUACUGCGAAAGCAUUUGCCAAGGAUGUUUUCAUUAAUCAAGAACGAAAGUUAGGGGAUCGAAGACGAUCAGAUACCGUCGUAGUCUUAACCAUAAACUAUGCCGACUAGGGAUCGGAUGAUGUUAAUUUUAUAAUGACUC
Molecule: ribosomal RNA, 506 nt
Filed under: uncultured Glomeromycotina
Lineage: Eukaryota; Fungi; Glomeromycota
Description: SSU rRNA
Rfam family: Eukaryotic small subunit ribosomal RNA
Source: RNAcentral